GAUGAACGCUGGCGGCGUGCUUAACACAUGCAAGUCGAACGGAAAGGCCCAAGCUUGCUUGGGUACUCGAGUGGCGAACGGGUGAGUAACACGUGGGUGAUCUGCCCUGCACUUCGGGAUAAGCCUGGGAAACUGGGUCUAAUACCGGAUAGGACGAUGGUUUGGAUACCAUUGUGGAAAGUUUUUUCGGUGUGGGAUGAGCUCGCGGCCUAUCAGCUUGUUGGUGGGGUAAUGGCCUACCAAGGCGUCGACGGGUAGCCGGCCUGAGAGGGUGUACGGCCACAUUGGGACUGAGAUACGGCCCAGACUCCUACGGGAGGCAGCAGUGGGGAAUAUUGCACAAUGGGCGCAAGCCUGAUGCAGCGACGCCGCGUGGGGGAUGACGGCCUUCGGGUUGUAAACUCCUUUCGCUAGGGACGAAGCGUUUUUGUGACGGUACCUGGAGAAGAAGCACCGGCUAACUACGUG
RNAcentral lists this ribosomal RNA (468 nucleotides) under uncultured bacterium. RNAcentral's name for it is "partial 16S ribosomal RNA". It matches the Rfam family "Bacterial small subunit ribosomal RNA", at positions 28 to 507 of the family's 1533-position model. The record is from RNAcentral.